AAAGCAGGAAAAAAAAAGGAAAAAAAGAUUGGUAACAGUUGUUAGCUCAGGUGCCAAUCUUUAAAAAAAAAAAAGAAGAAAAUUAAGAUUGUUAGUUGCCCUGCAGAUAUCAGAAUAUUUUAUAAAGUUGGCAGUGGCAGAGAAAUGGCCAUGGAUCGAUAGAAUAGAACAGAGAGUCCAGAAAAGGAUCAAUGUAAAUAUGUGAAGGAACGUAUGAUGGAUAUGGCAUUUCAAAUAAUUGAGAAAAGGACUGAUUCUUCACUAACUGAUGUUAGGACAUCUGGCUCUCCUUUUGUUGGGACAACUUGCUAUCCUUGAGGGGGAAAAGAUGGUGAAGUCCUUAACUCAUACCAGCUUUAAAAUAAAAUGGCAUGUAGAUUAAAGAGCUAAAUUAAGAAAAAAAUGUCAAAGUGCAAUAUGAAACAAUGAGAUAUUUCUCACCUAUCAGAUUGGCAAAAAAACUUAUAAGUUUGACAAUACCUUGGGCUGGGAAAGAUUUAGAGACAAGCACUCUCCUUAACUAUUAUUGGGAAUGCAAUUUGAUUUUUUUUUCUUGAGGAAGAUUUGCCCUGAGCUAACAUCUAUUGCCAAUCUUCUUCUUUUUUGUAUAUGGGUCACUGUCAUAGCAUGCCUGCCAACAAGUGAUGUAGGUCCAUGCCUGGGAACUGAACCCAGGCCACUGACAUGGAGCACACCGAACUUAACCACUAGGCCAUAGGGCCAGCCCCCUAAUUUGAUAUUUCUAUCUCAGUCCAUAUCAACUGAAAUUUAAACUACAUAUAUCCUUUGACCUAGAAGUUCCACUGCUAGGAAUUUACCAAACAGUCAUCUUUACAAAAGAGAUCUACAACGUCCAUUCCACAACAAUGGCUGGAAGAAUCCAUGGGGACUGUAUGUGGCUUCCUGAAAAAAGUGAUAUCCCCACCCUCCACCCCCGUUUUCCCGAAGCAAUGGGAGAUUCGGAACUAAUUCUAGGUUGCGGAAAAAUCUUUUCUGGAAGAAGUAAAAAGGAAAAAUAAAAGAUGAUCUGAAGGGAAAUUUUAUUUUAUUUAUUUUAAAUUUUUUGUGAGGACGAUUGGCCCUGCUUGAGGAAGAUCUGCGCCCAGGAUCUGAAGCUGUGAACCCCAGGCCAGCAAAGUGGAGCACGCAAACUUAACCACUACGCCACCAGGCCAGCCUCGUGUAAACGCUAUUCUUGUCAAAAAACUAAAGAGAAACUCCCUUCAUACCCCAGUCUUCAAGUGAUUUCCAUGGAGCUGAAAUGGUUUGGAGGAGAGAAGCAACUAUAUAGACAAGUUUUUAAAGUUUGGGAUGAUCUCAUUUGGGGAUGAAAAAGACGGCUGUGCACUGAGAAUUUCCCACAGAUUAUCUCUAUUUGGGAAAAAAUAUAAGCUGAUAUUGUCUUUAUUUUAGGUUACUGAAAGAUGAGCCACAUCUAAAUAUAUUCUAUUCAUUCAAUUCAACAACUAUUUAUUGAGCACACGCUAUGUGCAGGAUACUGUUCUCAUCACUAGAGAUGGAACAGUGAACAAAACUGACAAAAAUUCCUACCCUGUGGAACUUACGGUCCAGCCGGAGGUGAGGUAAUAAACAAUAAACAUCAUAGUGACUAGUUCUUGUGGUAUGUUAGAAGAUGGUAAGUGCUAUGGGAAAAAAUAAAGCAGAGAAAGGAGAGGAUCAGAGGUAAAAGGGUUGGAGGGUUGGUUACAUUAUUAAGGGUGUUCAGGGAAGACCUCAUUUGAUUUUUGUUUUGUUUUGUUUUCUUUUGUGUGUGUGUGUGUGUUUUUUGCAAGGAAGAUUGGCCCUGAGCUAACAUCUAUUGCCAAUCUUCCUCUUUUUGCUUGAGAAAGAUUGUCAGUGAGCUAACAUCUAUGCCAAUCUUCCUCUAUUUUGUAUGUGGGAUGCCGCCACAGCAAGGCUUGAUGAGUGGUGUGUAGGUCUGUGCCUGGCAUCUGAACCUGGAAACCCCAGACCACUGAAGCAGAGCAUGCAAACUUAACCACUACAUGGCCAGGCCAGCCCCAGACCUCAUUUGAAAGGUAUCAUUUGAGCAAAGACUUCAAGAAGGUUUCUUUGGGUCAGGAGCAACUUAGCUGAGCAGUGCUGGCUUGAGAUCUCUCAUGAAGGGUCAGUCAAGAUGUCAGGUGGAGCUGCAGUCCUCUGAAAGUUCAACGGAGGCUGAGAUCCCCUUUCAAGGUGGCUCACUCACAUGGCUGAUGCCUCAGUUCUCUUCAGGCUCCGUUCCCCAAGGCUGCUUGAGUAUCCUCAUAACUUGGUGGCUGGCUUACCCCAGAAUGAAUGAUUCAAGAAGGAGAGCACCAAGUGGAAGCUACGUCCUGGAAAGUAUGGUAGCAUCUUUUCCACCAUCUGUUGGUUAUCUGUGAGUCACAGUGGAGGAAGAGAACUUCUCUUUCCCAAUAGUUUCAACCACAGUUCUAGAAUUGUUUCCCAGUAGCUUUGCCUGGGUCAUCAUCACUCUGGCCAAACAUGAGUCUUGUGCUAGUCCUUGGAGCUGAGAGAUGAGGUCAGUUCCAUCUGAAACACAUGGACUGAAAGUGGGAGAGAGAGAGUUCCCCAAAGGGAAAUCAGGGUAUUGUUACCAGAAGAAGAAGGAAUAGAUACCAGACAAGCAAAAAUAAAAGAUGUCCACUAUAGUGCCUCUGCGUUAUUGGAAAUUGUUAUGGAAAGUGUGCAUUCCUUUUAUGAAAAAACUUACAUUAAAGACAAAAAAGUUUAAAGAUAUUAACUGUCAUCUCUGCAAAGUGCAAUUACAGUAAAAUUUCUCCCAGUUUUCUAUUUAUUCCAAAUUUCCUUUCAUGGGUAGGUAUUACAUUUUUUUUCCCGCUUUUUCUCCCCAAAUCCCCCCCAAUACAUAGUUGUAUAUUUUAGUUGUAGGUCCUUCUAGUUGUGGCAUGUGGGAUGCCACCUCAACAUGGCUUGAUGAGUGGUGCCAUGUCUGCCCCUAGGAUCCAAACCAGUGAAACCCUGGGCCAACGAAGUGGAG
This 3004-nucleotide long non-coding RNA is filed under the name Equus caballus (horse). RNAcentral describes it as "lncRNA (ENSECAG00000046955.1)". Lineage: Eukaryota; Metazoa; Chordata; Mammalia; Perissodactyla; Equidae. The record is from RNAcentral.